CAACGUGAGGAACCUACCUUCAAGUGGGGGAAUAACUCCCCAGAAAUGGAAGCUAAUACCGCAUGUGGCUGGAUGAAGACAUCUUCGUCCAACUAAAGAUUUAUCGCUUGAAGACGGCCUCGCGGCCUAUUAGCUAGUUGGUGGGGUAACGGCCUACCAAGGCAAUGAUGGGUAGCUGGUCUGAGAGGAUGAUCAGCCACACUGGGACUGAGACACGGCCCAG
RNAcentral lists this ribosomal RNA (223 nucleotides) under uncultured bacterium. Its description in RNAcentral is "partial 16S ribosomal RNA". It matches the Rfam family "Bacterial small subunit ribosomal RNA", at positions 113 to 334 of the family's 1533-position model. The record is from RNAcentral.